GAUGAACGCUGGCGGCGUGCCUAAUACAUGCAAGUCGAGCGAACGGACGAGAAGCUUGCUUCUCUGAUGUUAGCGGCGGACGGGUGAGUAACACGUGGAUAACCUACCUAUAAGACUGGGAUAACUUCGGGAAACCGGAGCUAAUACCGGAUAAUAUUUUGAACCGCAUGGUUCAAAAGUGAAAGACGGUCUUGCUGUCACUUAUAGAUGGAUCCGCGCUGCAUUAGCUAGUUGGUAAGGUAACGGCUUACCAAGGCAACGAUGCAUAGCCGACCUGAGAGGGUGAUCGGCCACACUGGAACUGAGACACGGUCCAGACUCCUACGGGAGGCAGCAGUAGGGAAUCUUCCGCAAUGGGCGAAAGCCUGACGGAGCAACGCCGCGUGAGUGAUGAAGGUCUUCGGAUCGUAAAACUCUGUUAUUAGGGAAGAAAAUAUGUGUAAGUAACUGGGCACAUCUUGACGGUACCUAAUCAGAAAGCCACGGCUAACUACG
RNAcentral lists this ribosomal RNA (495 nucleotides) under uncultured bacterium. RNAcentral's name for it is "partial 16S ribosomal RNA". It matches the Rfam family "Bacterial small subunit ribosomal RNA", at positions 28 to 505 of the family's 1533-position model. The record is from RNAcentral.